UGGGGAAUAUUGGGCAAUGGGCGCAAGCCUGACCCAGCGACGCCGCGUGAGGGAAGAAGGCCCUUGGGUCGUAAACCUCUGUUGUAUGGGAAGAAGGACGUGACGGUACCAUACGAGGAAGUCCCGGCUAACUACGUGCCAGCAGCCGCGGUAAUACGUAGGGGACGAGCGUUGUCCGGAAUUACUGGGCGUAAAGGGCGCGCAGGCGGAUAUUUAAGUCAGCUGUUAAAGUCAUGGGCUCAACUCAUGGAUGCGGUUGAAACUGGAUAUCUCGAGUGCUGGAGAGGUAGGCGGAAUUCCCGGUGUAGCGGUGAAAUGCGUAGAUAUCGGGAAGAACACCAGUGGCGAAGGCGGCUUACUGGCCAGCAACUGACGCUGAGGCGCGAAAGCCAGGGGAGCG
RNAcentral lists this ribosomal RNA (400 nucleotides) under uncultured bacterium. Its description in RNAcentral is "bacterial SSU rRNA". It matches the Rfam family "Bacterial small subunit ribosomal RNA", at positions 355 to 770 of the family's 1533-position model. The record is from RNAcentral.